UAUUAGUUUUUCGCAUGAAGAACUAAUUAAAGGAGUAAUCCGCUUUGAGAUGGACCCGCGGCGCAUUAGCUAGUUGGUGAGGUAAAGGCUCACCAAGGCGACGAUGCGUAGCCGACCUGAGAGGGUGAUCGGCCACAUCGGAACUGAGACACGGCCCAGACUCCUACGGGAGGCAGCAGUGGGGAAUAUUGCACAAUGGGCGAAAGCCUGAUGCAGCAACGCCGCGUGAGUGAUGAAGGCCUUCGGGUUGUAAAGCUCUGUCUUUUGGGACGAUAAUGACGGUACCAAAGGAGGAAGCCACGGCUAACUACGUGCCAGCAGCCGCGGUAAUACGUAGGUGGCGAGCGUUGUCCGGAUUUACUGGGCGUAAAGGAUGCGUAGGCGGAUAUUUAAGUGAGAUGUGAAAUACCCGAGCUUAACUUGGGUGCUGCAUUUCAAACUGGAUAUCUAGAGUGUGGGAGAGGAGAAUGGAAUUCCUAGUGUAGCGGUGAAAUGCGUAGAGAUUAGGAAGAACACCAGUGGCGAAGGCGAUUCUCUGGACCAUAACUGACGCUGAGGCAUGAAAGCGUGGGUAGCAAACAGGAUUAGAUACCCUGGUAGUCCACGCCGUAAACGAUGAGUACUAGGUGUAGGGGGUAUCGACUCCUUCUGUGCCGCAG
RNAcentral lists this ribosomal RNA (659 nucleotides) under uncultured Clostridium sp. RNAcentral describes it as "bacterial SSU rRNA". It matches the Rfam family "Bacterial small subunit ribosomal RNA", at positions 173 to 851 of the family's 1533-position model. The record is from RNAcentral. Lineage: Bacteria; Bacillati; Bacillota; Clostridia; Eubacteriales; Clostridiaceae.